GCGAGAGUGGCGGAAUUGGUAGACGCACUGGAUUUAGGUUCCAGCGCCGCAAGGUGUGGGGGUUCGAGUCCCCCCUCUCGCACCA
Molecule: transfer RNA, 85 nt
Filed under: Burkholderiales bacterium
Lineage: Bacteria; Pseudomonadati; Pseudomonadota; Betaproteobacteria; Burkholderiales
Also listed under: 1 other name
Description: tRNA-Leu
Rfam family: tRNA
About the family: Transfer RNA (tRNA) molecules are approximately 80 nucleotides in length.
Source: RNAcentral